This 222-nucleotide ribosomal RNA is filed under the name uncultured bacterium. RNAcentral's name for it is "partial 16S ribosomal RNA". It matches the Rfam family "Bacterial small subunit ribosomal RNA", at positions 524 to 745 of the family's 1533-position model. The record is from RNAcentral.
UACGAAGGGGCUAGCGUUGUUCGGAAUUACUGGGCGUAAAGCGCACGUAGGCGGAUUGUUAAGUCGGGGUGAAAUCCUGAGGCUCAACCUCAGAACUGCCUUCGAUACUGGCAAUCUCGAGUCCGGAAGAGGUUGGUGGAACAGCUAGUGUAGAGGUGAAAUUCGUAGAUAUUAGCUAGAACACCAGUGGCGAAGGCGGCCAACUGGUCCCGGUACGUGACG